This 256-nucleotide ribosomal RNA is filed under the name uncultured bacterium. RNAcentral's name for it is "partial 16S ribosomal RNA". It matches the Rfam family "Bacterial small subunit ribosomal RNA", at positions 526 to 779 of the family's 1533-position model. The record is from RNAcentral.
CAGAGGUGGCAAGCGUUGUUCGGAAUUACUGGGCGUAAAGGGCGCGUAGGCGGUCGCCUAAGUCGGACGUGAAAUCCCCAAGCUUAACUUGGGAACGUGCGUCCGAUACUGGGUGACUUGAGUUCGGGAGAGGAAUGUGGAAUUCCAGGUGUAGCGGUGAAAUGCGUAGAUAUCUGGAGGAACACCGGUGGCGAAGGCGGCAUUCUGGACCGAAACUGACGCUGAGGCGCGAAAAGCCAGGGGAGCAAACGGGAUU